Molecule: ribosomal RNA, 1504 nt
Filed under: Meloidogyne incognita (southern root-knot nematode)
Lineage: Eukaryota; Metazoa; Nematoda; Chromadorea; Rhabditida; Meloidogynidae
Description: SSU rRNA
Source: RNAcentral
CAUGAUUUACUUGAUCUUGAUUAUCUAAAUGGAUAACUGUGGAAAAGCUAGAGCUAAUACAUGCACCAAAGCUUUGUCCUCUCGGAAAAGCGCAUUUAUUAGAACAAAACCACGCGGCUUCGGCUGCUUCUUGUUGACUCAGAAUAACUAAGCUGACCGCAUGGCCUUGUGCCGGCGGCGUGUCUUUCAAGCGUCCACUUUAUCAACUUGACGGGAGCAUAAUCGACUCCCGUGGUGGUGACGGAUAACGGAGGAUCAGGGUUCGACUCCGGAGAAGGGGCCUGAGAAAUGGCCACUACGUCUAAGGAUGGCAGCAGGCGCGCAAAUUACCCACUCUCGGCUCGAGGAGGUAGUGACGAGAAAUAACGAGAUCGUUCUCUUUGAGGCCGGUCAUCGGAAUGGGUACAAUUUAAACCCUUUAACGAGUAUCAAGCAGAGGGCAAGUCUGGUGCCAGCAGCCGCGGUAAUUCCAGCUCUGCUAAUACAUAGAAUUAUUGCUGCGGUUAAAAAGCUCGUAGUUGGAUUCGUAUCGGUACCCUGGAACCCUCCGGGUGUUUCUGGGUGUUAUCGAUUUAUCGUAAUGUUCGGUUUUGAGUCCUUAACAGGAUUCUUAACAGGCAUUGCAAGUUUACUUUGAACAAAUCAGAGUGCUUCAAACAGGCGUUUUCGCUUGAAUGAUCGUGCAUGGAAUAAUAGAAAACGAUUUCGGUUCAGUUUUAUUGGUUUUACGGACUGAGAUAAUGGUUAACAGAGACAAACGGGGGCAUUUGUAUGGYCCCGUGAGAGGUGAAAUUCUUGGACCGUGGCCAGACAAACUACAGCGAAAGCAUUUGCCAAGAAUGUUUUUAUUAAUCAAGAACGAAAGUCAGAGGUUCGAAGGCGAUCAGAUACCGCCCUAGUUCUGACCGUAAACGAUGCCAACUAGCGAUCCGCCGAUGGAAAUUAUAUUGCCUUGGUGGGGAGCUUCCCGGAAACGAAAGUCUUCCGGUUCCGGGGGAAGUAUGGUUGCAAAGCUGAAACUUAAAGGAAUUGACGGAAGGGCACCACCAGGAGUGGAGCCUGCGGCUUAAUUUGACUCAACACGGGGAAACUCACCCGGCCCGGACACUGUGAGGAUUGACAGAUUGAUAGCUUUUUCAUGAUUCAGUGGAUGGUGGUGCAUGGCCGUUCUUAGUUCGUGGAGUGAUUUGUCUGGUUUAUUCCGAUAACGAGCGAGACUCUAACCUACUAAAUAGUUGGUACAUACUCUUAGUGUAUACAGCUUCUUAGAGGGAUUUGCGGCGUUCAGCCGAAAGAAAUUGAGCAAUAACAGGUCUGUGAUGCCCUUAGAUGUCCGGGGCUGCACGCGCGCUACACUGGCAAAAUCAACGUGCUUGUCCUACCCUGAAAGGGGCGGGUAAACCAUUGAAAAUUUGCCGUGAUUGGGAUCGGAAAUUGCAAUUAUUUUCCGUGAACGAGGAAUUCCAAGUAAGUGCGAGUCAUCAGCUCGCGUUGAUUACGUCCC